CUCAACCGACUAAAUCGGCACUGAUUCGACGUACCACCAUUCAAAUCUCACCGAGUAAGCUGGAUCUGUGUGAUCACAGGCUGGAUCAAUGGGUGGCCGACAUGCAGACAGCUCGGGUACACGUGCUCAUUAUUGCCCUGCCAAUCAAUCUUCUACCAUCAAUAUGAAAGAUCACCUCGAGCUCCACGGCAUUAACUGCCACACGACCUGUGAUGGGA
Molecule: long non-coding RNA, 218 nt
Filed under: Elaeis guineensis (African oil palm)
Lineage: Eukaryota; Viridiplantae; Streptophyta; Magnoliopsida; Arecales; Arecaceae
Description: long non-coding RNA (EGUI_LNC029850)
Source: RNAcentral